This 24-nucleotide non-coding RNA is filed under the name Cricetulus griseus (Chinese hamster). The record is from RNAcentral. Lineage: Eukaryota; Metazoa; Chordata; Mammalia; Rodentia; Cricetidae.
ACUUGACAGCAAGGUGGCUUCUGC